This 1401-nucleotide ribosomal RNA is filed under the name uncultured bacterium. Its description in RNAcentral is "16S ribosomal RNA". It matches the Rfam family "Bacterial small subunit ribosomal RNA". The record is from RNAcentral.
UUAGAGUUUGAUCCUGGCUCAGGAUGAACGCUAGCUACAGGCUUAACACAUGCAAGUCGAGGGGCAGCAUCAUCAAAGCUUGCUUUGAUGGAUGGCGACCGGCGCACGGGUGAGUAACACGUAUCCAACCUGCCGACAACACUGGGAUAGCCUUUCGAAAGAAAGAUUAAUACCGGAUGGCAUAGUUUUCCCGCAUGGGAUAAUUAUUAAAGAAUUUCGGUUGUCGAUGGGGAUGCGUUCCAUUAGGCAGUUGGCGGGGUAACGGCCCACCAAACCAACGAUGGAUAGGGGUUCUGAGAGGAAGGUCCCCCACAUUGGAACUGAGACACGGUCCAAACUCCUACGGGAGGCAGCAGUGAGGAAUAUUGGUCAAUGGACGAGAGUCUGAACCAGCCAAGUAGCGUGAAGGAUGACUGCCCUAUGGGUUGUAAACUUCUUUUAUACGGGAAUAAAGUUAGCCACGUGUGGCUUUUUGUAUGUACCGUAUGAAUAAGGAUCGGCUAACUCCGUGCCAGCAGCCGCGGUAAUACGGAGGAUCCGAGCGUUAUCCGGAUUUAUUGGGUUUAAAGGGUGCGUAGGCGGCUUUAUAAGUUAGUGGUAAAAUUUCGGAGCUUCACUCCGGUCCGCCAUUAAAACUGUAGAGCUAGAGAAUGGACGAGGUAGGCGGAAUAAGUUAAGUAGCGGUGAAAUGCAUAGAUAUAACUUAGAACUCCGAUAGCGAAGGCAGCUUACCAGACCAUAACUGACGCUGAUGCACGAGAGCGUGGGUAGCGAACAGGAUUAGAUACCCUGGUAGUCCACGCCGUAAACGAUGCUCACGGGCCCUUACCGAUAAAACAGUUAGGGGUUAAUUUGAAAGAAUAAAUUGAGCCACCUGGGGAGUACGUCGGCAAACGAUGAAACUCAAAGGAAUUGACGGGGGCCCGCACAAGCGAAGGAACAUGUGGUUUAAUUCGAUGAUACGCGAGGAACCUUACCUGGGUUUAAAUGUAUGUUGCAUAAUCUGGAAACAGUUUUCCUCUUAGAAGCUAUAUACAAGGUGCUGCAUGGUUGUCGUCAGCUCGUGCCGUGAGGUGUCGGCUUAAGUGCCAUAACGAGCGCAACCCUUAUCGAUAGUUACCAUCAGGUCAUGCUGGGGACUCUGUCGAGACUGCCGUCGUAAGAUGCGAGGAAGGUGGGGAUGACGUCAAAUCAGCACGGCCCUUACGUCCGGGGCCACACACGUGUUACAAUGGGGGGUACAGAAGGCCGCUACACAGCGAUGUGAUGCCAAUCCCCAAAACCCCUCUCAGUUCGGAUUGGAGUCUGCAACCCGACUCCAUGAAGCUGGAUUCGCUAGUAAUCGCGCAUCAGCCACGGCGCGGUGAAUACGUUCCCGGGCCUUGCACUCACCGCCCGUCA